UGAACAGCUCUGGAGAAUGCAUCUAGCCACAGAAAAGGUACAGCAUUCAUAGCAACAGACCAAUCUUCCCCACACUGUCCUGCCAAUCUGCCUCUACCUACACUCAGAGACUGCUGCUAUGGCCACCUGCUAGUUCAUCAUAAGUCAGG
This 149-nucleotide small RNA is filed under the name Gopherus agassizii (Agassiz's desert tortoise). RNAcentral's name for it is "TUC338 (ENSGAGG00000006843.1)". The record is from RNAcentral. Lineage: Eukaryota; Metazoa; Chordata; Testudines; Testudinidae.